This is a long non-coding RNA of Labeo rohita (rohu), 713 nucleotides long. RefSeq lists it as uncharacterized. The transcript is spliced from 3 exons. NCBI's taxonomy places the organism in Eukaryota, Metazoa, Chordata, Actinopteri, Cypriniformes, Cyprinidae. The record is from RefSeq and is a predicted model, not a curated record.
GUAAGCAGCGAGACGUGCGGGUACCUUUAAUAACUUGCUAAUUCUCUUAUUGUUUGAUUGUAAUGCUUUUUGCUAACUUUGGUUUAAAGAAUGAGUUAAUUCAGCCCAUCUUUUUGUCUGGCCUUUUCGCAGCAUAUAUUCACUCUGGAGUAACCUUACCAGGAGACAGACGGAGAUUUGGAGUUCGUUCAAAGAUAUUUACGAGGAACAAAGACCUUGAAAGCAAAAGUUCCAUCUAAAACCACAGGGCAAAUGGCAAAUGUGAACCCAAGUUGCCACUCUUCUUUGCAAAGUGAAGGAUUUUCAGCAGAAUUUCUGAAAUCAGCGGCAGAAACGCAGGAAGCUGGAAUGUGCGACUUUAUUCUGUGCUGCUGUCUCCGCUGGUUUCAAAACUCAAAGAGGUGCGUAUACUAGCUGUAUAUUGUCUUUUCCCACUUGAUUUGCAGUUCGCAACAACACAAGCUUGUUUCUGCAAAGACGUUUGUUAUGUUUUCCACAAAAACGUCUGACGUGUUUACGUUUUACGUGGCAUGAAAACGUGAAAAAGCAUAAAUCCGAUUUGAAUAGGAUUCCAAACCACAUACGAAUGUAGCUCGAAACGGAUUUGACCAAAUCAGAUUUCAUGUAGUUUGUUGCUGUUCAGACUACCUAAAUAUGAUCGGAUUUCAAUCGGAUUUGCAUACAAAUCGGAUAUGGGCUGACAGUCUGAACGA